Long non-coding RNA from Aphis gossypii (cotton aphid), 1011 nucleotides. RefSeq lists it as uncharacterized. NCBI's taxonomy places the organism in Eukaryota, Metazoa, Arthropoda, Insecta, Hemiptera, Aphididae. The record is from RefSeq and is a predicted model, not a curated record. The transcript is spliced from 4 exons.
CAUCAAGUCUAACUUUAAUAAUUAUAUUCUAAGAUUCUUGAGACAGUGAUUAACGCCCACAAUAAUUUUUCAAAUGUUUUUACGUAUGUCAUCGCAAUUCUACAGUCAAAAUUAUGAACUAUACAGUUCAUAAUAUGUAAUGAAAUGUCAAAGUGAAAACUAUAGUCAUCAGCUGCGACGAGGGCAAUGUUUAUGAUGUCGACUGUUGUGUUCAACACUUGAACAUGUUAAAAAAAUAUAAACCAAUUAACAAAAUUGUGAAUAACGUCGUUUGAGGAACACAUAGAUAUUAAACAUUUAAUAUCAAUGGGUUCCUGUGAACCGUGCAUAGAUAAUGUGAAUAAGAAAUAAAAGAAAGAAAUGAUAAAAAUAAUUCAAAUGUUAUUUUCAAAUAAUGUGCAAAAAAACUGUUAUAACUUAGCUAAUAAAAAAAUCAGUAAUCACCACACACGAUUGAAGCAAUUGCCAAUGGAUUCAGAAUAUAAUGACAAUGAUAGAUGAUAUAACCUUAUACUUAAUAUGUUGAGAUGAUUCAUUUAAAAAUUGAAUGUACUCUAAAUUAGUUACCAUUAUGUCUGUUACAAUAAAACACAGUAUUCAUACAAAACAAUUGAAGCAAUAACCAUUGGAUUCAUGGUAUAAUGCCAACGAAAGAUGAUAUGACAAUAAACUUAAAAUGUUGCAAUGAGUAUUUAAACAUUGAAUAUACUAAACAUUAAUCAAAAUUAUGUCUACAUGCCUAUAACUACACACUGCAGUAUUCAUUUCAAACAAUUUUUGCAACAUCAACUGGAUUCAGAGUGUAAGAGUGAUGAUUGAUGAUAUGACAUCACACAUAAAAUGUUAAAAUCAAAUAUUUGGAAAAUCAAUAUGUAUAUAUUUAAUCAUAAUUACGUGUAAAUAUACUGUUUUAUUUUUUUUUUUGCUAACAAGAAAGUCAUAUUUAUAUUACACAUUUGAAACAUUUACUACUAAAAUAAGAUGUUAAUAUUAACCACAUAAAAUAUGGUU